Molecule: ribosomal RNA, 478 nt
Filed under: uncultured bacterium
Lineage: Bacteria
Description: partial 16S ribosomal RNA
Rfam family: Bacterial small subunit ribosomal RNA
Source: RNAcentral
GAUUAACGCUGGCGGCGUGCAUAACACAUGCGAGUCGAACGAUGAAACUCAUUAGAUUUCUUCGGAAUGAAACUGAAUGGAUUAGUGGCGAACGGGUGAGUAACGCGUGAGUAACCUGCCUUACACAAGGGGAUAGCCUCUGGAAACGGAGAAUAAUACCCUAUGAAACCAGACAAUCGCAUGAUAAUCUGGUCAAAAUGUUUAGUGGUGUAAGAUGGACUUGCGUCUGAUUAGCUAGUUGGUGAGAUAAAAGCUCACCAAGGCAACGAUCAGUAGCCGGCUUGAGAGAGUGUACGGCCACAUUGGGACUGAGACACGGCCCAGACUCCUACGGGAGGCAGCAGUGGGGAAUCUUGCACAAUGGGGGAAACCCUGAUGCAGCGACGCCGCGUGAUUGAGAAGGCCUUCGGGUUGUAAAAAUCUUUUGUAUAGGAAGAAAAUGACAGUACUAUACGAAUAAGGUCCGGCUAAUUACGUG